Molecule: ribosomal RNA, 400 nt
Filed under: uncultured bacterium
Lineage: Bacteria
Description: bacterial SSU rRNA
Rfam family: Bacterial small subunit ribosomal RNA
Source: RNAcentral
UGAGGAAUUUUGCGCAAUGGGGGAAACCCUGACGCAGCGACGCCGCGUGGAGGAUGAAGGCCUUCGGGUCGUAAACUCCUGUCAGAGGUGAAGAAUGCCCGCAAGGGUUUGACGGUAACCUCAGAGGAAGCCCCGGCUAACUACGUGCCAGCAGCCGCGGUAAUACGUAGGGGGCGAGCGUUGCUCGGAAUUACUGGGCGUAAAGGGUGUGUAGGUGGCUGAUCAAGUCAAAGAUGAAAUCCCGAGGCUCAACUUCGGAAUUGUCUUUGAAACUGGUCGGCUUGAGGCUAGUUGAGGAGAGCGGAAUUCCCGGGUGGAGCGGUGAAAUGCGUAGAUAUCGGGAGAACACCGUGAGGCGAAGGCGGUUCUCUAAACCUGUCCUGACACUGAAACACGAAAG